Molecule: ribosomal RNA, 107 nt
Filed under: Hymenoscyphus sp. UBCM5
Lineage: Eukaryota; Fungi; Ascomycota; Leotiomycetes; Helotiales; Helotiaceae
Also listed under: 1 other name
Description: partial 5.8S ribosomal RNA
Rfam family: 5.8S ribosomal RNA
About the family: 5.8S ribosomal RNA (5.8S rRNA) is a component of the large subunit of the eukaryotic ribosome. It is transcribed by RNA polymerase I as part of the 45S precursor that also contains 18S and 28S rRNA. Functionally, it is thought that 5.8S rRNA may be involved in ribosome translocation.
Source: RNAcentral
GAAAUGCGAUAAGUAAUGUGAAUUGCAGAAUUCAGUGAAUCAUCGAAUCUUUGAACGCACAUUGCGCCCCUUGGUAUUCCGAGGGGCAUGCCUGUUCGAGCGUCAUU